This is a long non-coding RNA of Spinacia oleracea (spinach), 772 nucleotides long. RefSeq lists it as uncharacterized. The transcript has 3 exons. The record is from RefSeq and is a predicted model, not a curated record. Lineage: Eukaryota; Viridiplantae; Streptophyta; Magnoliopsida; Caryophyllales; Amaranthaceae.
UCAAUCAAAAACCUAAUAUGUAUUUCAUUCAAAUUUCUUUUGAAGAAUAAAAGAGGGUUCCUCUUACUGGAACCCAUAAUUCUAUGUCCCUCAACAAACAUUUACGAUUUCGUCGGUAUUUAAUUGAGAAUAUGUUCUUGCAAUUGGCGAGCAUAAAAAUUGGAGUGUUACUACAUCUGCCGAUCGAUCAACAGAUGGAAAGGCUUAAACCGUAGGCAGAAGACACCAGUUGACUUUGUUGAAACAGAGAGGGUCAAGCAUGAUAAGCCGUCGCCGAUCAACGCCAUCGCCACCAUCAGUCUGGUCGGCUCUCCUUGCUCCCGACCGUCACCACCAACAAUCUCACGCAAUUUUCUCAUCAUAUCCUCCAAUCUUUUGCCUCAAUUUUCUCUCUCCUAUGAUUUGCGUUUCAAUUAUUUCGUAAUUACUCCGGGUCUUUGUUUUUCUGGAAGAUUGGGUUGUUGGUUGGAGAUAUUGGUUUUGGUUCAUUCCUUGACUUUCCAUUUAUCUGUUAGUUUCUUCGAUCCUAUUUAUUUUCUGUUUUCGAUCUUAGAUUUGAUUUUAACUGUUUUGUUUCAGUCGUUGUUUAUAUAUAGUUUUUGUUUGAUUGUUUGUUUUGGAUCUAGAGUUUGUGAUAUUUUCGAUAUCAUGCAAAUUGUUUAGGGAUUUUUCAUCUAGGAUUUUAUGCAUGCAAUCUGUUUAUGUAUUUGAUAAUUUUGGCUGUAAUUUUCUGUUGUUUGAGUUUUAAUUCUGUAGAUCUGAUUUCUUUGGU